GGAUGUGAGGGCAAUCAGGUUGAGACAUCUGUCAACUCACUGAUCACCAGGGUUGAUUCAGUUGAUCUGGCUGGCUAGGGGGUGUUCCUUUCUCCAGAAGCUGUGUUUCUGGGUCAAAAGAGGAGAGCCUUCCCCACUAGAAAUAGACUGGUCUUGUCAAGGGUAUACGAAUAGCUGUACUCCCCUGCUAGAACCUCCAAACAAGCUCUCAAGAUAUGGGAAUUAAAUCAUUCAACUAUCUUUUUAACUUUAAGUCUGAAAACAUUU
Unclassified non-coding RNA from Erinaceus europaeus (western European hedgehog), 267 nucleotides. Its record names the gene 7SK. It matches the Rfam family "7SK RNA". From Rfam's summary of the family: 7SK was discovered as an abundant small nuclear RNA in the mid-70s but a possible function has only recently been suggested. Lineage: Eukaryota; Metazoa; Chordata; Mammalia; Eulipotyphla; Erinaceidae. The record is from Ensembl.